This is a long non-coding RNA of Prinia subflava (tawny-flanked prinia), 10572 nucleotides long. RefSeq lists it as uncharacterized. Lineage: Eukaryota; Metazoa; Chordata; Aves; Passeriformes; Cisticolidae. The record is from RefSeq and is a predicted model, not a curated record. The transcript is spliced from 5 exons.
UUAAAUUUUGAAUAAUGCUUUUUGCAUGUGAUCACAGUCUAUUUUCUGUCUUGAGCAGAGAGAGUGUGGGGAUCUUCUGAGGAGAUCUGAGGGCAUUCCCACUGUUCCAGAGCAAAUAAAGUGUUAAGUAUCACAAACAAAGUGAAAUGUUUAAAAAGGGCAUUUUUAGUGUGAUGCUCUCCUGCCACAAUAAUUACCAACAAAAACCUCACACGGUGUCUCUGGAAAGAGUCUCAGCAUCUUGUACCAAUUCAUCUGAGUAUUAACACAUUCACAUCUGACACCCAGUGGGACUGGGACCUCCUUGCCAAAACAGCAAUCAGAAGCUGGGUCCCAAGUGGGUUUCUCACACCCCAGUGAGGACAGUAACCAAGGAUAAUCCCCACGGAGAUGCACUGCUGCCUCUGCAAAGAGCAGUGCUGUUGUUUUGUAAUUUAAGAGGUUGUGUGCUUCUUGCUGGAAGCACUACAAAUCCUUGUAAGAGGGAUUCUGCUUUUCAUUUUGUUCAUGAUUUCAACAUAGUGGGCUUUAUCACCUCUCUGCUAGCUUUGCUAUGAGGCUGCUAAAGUUCUAGUCAGAAUUGCACAGGAGUGGCACAAUGCUUUUCUGCUGCUGCUUCAAAAAGACUGCAAUGGAAACUGCUUAUGUAAAAUCAGCUCUAACUUUUUUUGGUUUGUCUCUGUUAAUUGUAGAGGGAUUGGACUAGACGACCUUUAAAGGUCAGUUCUAACUCAAAUUAUGCUAUGAUUUUAAAAUUUCAUGUACUGAGCAAGGUAUUUGGGAUUUUUUUUUUGCUUUUAAUUUAGAUAAUUUUUUUUUCUUUAUUUUUUUCUUUUUUUUUUUCCAUAGGAAUAGAAGGACAGAAAGAGCUGCUUUUCUUUUUUAGAUAUUUAAACAGUAAUGUUUAUUUAUUUAUUCUGUUUAUUUAAACAGAAAUGUUUAUUCAUUAUUUCUGAGCUUUUGUUCAUGUUUUACUAGUCCAGCCAUCAGAGCACCCGCUGGAUUGCAAUGUUAAAAUAAUUGCAAAGACUCUUGAGAAAUGUUGUGUUCCAAAGAAAAUUCUAGAAAGCUAUUAUAUCAAAGCCAAACAAAUAAUUAAAUGAAUCAUUACUUCCCACCUCGUACUCAUUGCAGUGUUAUUGCAUAAUAAACCUGAAUGGAAGGAGAAAGAAUAAAUCCAGAGAGAAAUCAAGUCUAUAUGCUUGAAAUUACUAGAAUUCAUUUGAAUAGAAACAAAAGCAAGAAGGAAUGAUGGUGGUGAUCAAUAUCAGCCUAGAAAAUGUCAUUUAUUACAUCUAUCCUUGCUGCUGUAUUGCCUUUCUACAGCAACUCGUGAUUUGAGUCUGCACAAAUCUAGUAGCUGGACUCCUUUAGGAGAUAAUUUUCUUCUGCUGCUACUGAAAUCUCUGCCUCUAGCCUCAAUAUCAGAAAGAAAUAAGAAAGUAUUACCAUGCAAAAGAAGCAUGAGAUGGGGAGUUAUAGCACCUGAACUCUGAAUCCUUCUUCUUAACAUGCUUGCUCUUAAGACCAGCUUUUUGUUUUGCCCACCUGUACUAACAAGGCCAUCUGAGGAGUGGUGGGGUAAUGCUCACAGCUCUUAAUGACUUGGGAGGACUAGGGAUGCUUAAUGCCUUCCAAACGAAGUUCAUGGAUGCUGGAAUUUCACACUCCUGGGCACAAGAAGAGAAAAAUUCCUGGUGCUGUAAGGCACUCUGUAGUCCUGGUCACGGAGCAGGAUGAGGCCGUAGUUCCAGUUUCUCAACUUCAACCUUGUAGCAGUAAAGCAAUGCAGCAGGAGCCUUACAAAUGCUGGUUUGGUAGCAGAUAUUAACAAACUGUCACUUUGUCUCUGACUGGCACUGGCCUGAUCACAGCCUCUUUAUUUCCCAUCAUCCUAUAGGGAAUAGACAUCUCCUCCAGAUAAGGCAGGGCUGGACCUUGCAGUAGGAGAACAGGCAACCCCAGCAGCACCUGGUCUGAGGGAGGGAGAAGUGAAGGGUCACCAGGACAAAUAGCAAAGCACUACACAGGACCUGAAAGCAACCUCUGGCAUGAAUCUCUGUGGUGUGAGAGUUCUCUUGCUUUGCAUCAGGCUGAUAAAUAUGAAUUUUCAUUUGGCUAUCUCUCAUAAGUUCAGAAUGGAGAUACAGUGAGACUGAACUGAGAUGAAAUUAAAAAUUAGGUACUUAACAUGUAAUAGUGGCAAGGAGGUAGGUAUCUGAAAUGAUGCUUUGUAUUUGUAAAGUGUCUUACCAAACCCAAACAUGGAAUGGAAACCUGAAUUGGUGCAGCCAUGCAGCAGCCAUAAUUUCCAUAUAAAUAACUGCCGUAAGCAGUGCUUCCAAUGAGAGAAAAUCCAGGCAUGUAUGGUUAAGGUUUGCACAAAGUCAAGCAAAACCUGAUUACCUAAAUUUUCAAUGGUUUCAUUUUAUGGGUCAAAAUGACAUGUCAAAACAUACAACAUUAUGUACUCUAUCGAGUAAUAAGUGGUAUUUCUUAGCCCUGUAUUUCUUAGCCCUGUAGCUGUCAGAACCGCUCCAUAGCCCCGAGCUACAGACAUAUUAACUUAGAGUUCCAAGGGUGAGUCAGACACGUUGUACAGCUCCAACAUGAUUUCUGGAAUAGAGACAACACAGGGUUAGCACAUAUGUUGUCAUAAUACUUAUCAAGAAGAGGAAACAUUUGUCCAUUUUGACAAAGAUGACUGGAAAGACAUGGGAAUAAGCAGUAUGUGGCAGGAGGUAAAGAGUAGAUGCAUUCUGAAAUUAAUUAACAAGAUAAUUAUUUUGAUCAACCAUUAAACUGGAAACACAUAUAAGAAAAAUGAAGUCUUUGUAAGAAAAAAAAUGAUACACAACCAAGCCUUAAUUUUUGGCUGCUGUAAUUUUACACAAUAACUAUCUCUAUAAUAAGAAGUACUUUAAUACUCUGGAUAUUUCAGUGGGAAAGUAAGAACCAUUUCAUCGUAUCAAGCAUGAAAUAUAAUUUGAUAAUAGGAAAAAAAAGCAGAAAUAUGAGUAAAGGAGAGGUUUGUCAUGUUAUUUGCCAGUGACUAUCAGUGAAGUACAGAAAACAUUUGUAUAUAGAAACAAAGUGAACCAUUUCCAGCGUAUUUCUGUGGUGGAUAAUGUCACAUUUGCCUGAAUAAGCUAUUAUUAGGCUCCCUCUGGUUUGACAAAUGUGUUUCAGCUGUCAGAUUGUGUCUAAAGGCAGCCAUUCAAUUCUUUGUUUUUAGUCUCAAAUUACAGUUGACAUUUAUUGUUAAACUCAAGGUGCCACCUUACAAAACUGAUUCAGUCUUUGUGAUUUUGCAUUUUCUACUAACUAAUCAAUAGAUAAGCAGUUUACAUGGCCUUUGGCUUCUAGUUCAGUCACUAGCUUUUAACAAAAAUCUCUUUCUUGGAAGCAACAAAGACCUUUAAAGGGAUUGAAACAGUCAUACAUAAUUAAGCUUUUCUGCCUGUAUAUUUAUGCUUUGAUACCAGCACACAGAGAAAAAACUUAAAAUCUGCAGGGAGUUUGCCCAUUAAAAAAAGCCCCUCCUGUUCUCAGUUUAUGUAUUUUCUUUACUCAUAGACAGAGGGUUUCCGUGCUGCUUGGCAGGACUGAGCGAGGAAAAAGACAGAACACUUGUAGAAAAUGCAGUAGUGGUAACACUCUUUGUAAUUCUCUAGGCAUUUUGGAAUUUAAUCCUUGCUGAGAAUUAAUGGGCUUUGUACUGGGAGGUUGGCUAGGAUGCAUUGGCUGCAGAGUUGAUGACCACUUUUCACCUCUCGUUUGUGGCCCAUAGGAAAUUGCUGUGUGAGAGUGCCUCAAAAUACUAAAGAUAUUUCUUUGAUAAGAGUGGAGGAAGAGAGAGAAAAGAUGAUUCACAUUCUCAUGUUUGAUAUUUCCAAUUGCUGACAGAAGACCAAAGAAAUUUGUCUUUCAUACUCAGAGAACUUAGUGAGGAUUGCAGAACACUGUACUGCUGCUGCCAAAUUCUGCACUCCAAGUUUGGUCUAACAAAGAAGACAAAUGCUGAUUUAAGAUGGAAAAACAAACCAGAAUGUCUCCAUGAAUGGAUUUUGCAUUAUUUAACAGAAGCAUUGAGUCUCCACCCUUUUAAGUUAAGGAAAAGCUAAGUCAUGUUAAGCAAGAAAUUAAGGGUAAUUGAUAUCACUCAGUGAAGUAUUUGAUCCUUGUUCCAGCCAGAUGUUGAAGGUGGCAGGUAAUUGUGCACAUAAUUAUUACUGGUGAAAACUGAGUACAUGGAUAUUUAUGUGACUGCAAGAUAUAUUGCAAGAUAUAUUUCAUCUUCCUCCAUCAAAGCUUUUAACAAAUAUGUAACCGGUUUUCUGUCUGUUAGUUGUAUAAAACUUUGGACGUGCAUUGGACAAGAGUAAAACCUGAUAUUUCUGCAUUACAAAAGCAGAAACAAACACUUUAAUAUUUGACUUGUUCAGAAUACUACAGAAAUUAUACCAGUAAAAUACAUUUGAACACCUGGAAUCACUGAGAACAGAUAGUGAAUAUUUUCUGUCUGAAGUAAUUUCAGGUGAUGACCCUGUUAAACAAGAGCCUGACACUGCACAGCUUGCGGUUGUGUCACAAAAGAACUAAAAGUGUCUGCAGUGGAAGUAAUCAUCAUCUAGUAAAGAUGACGUGGUAAAUUUUGUGUAGAAAAAUAUGUAUAAAAGCUCAGGGUUAUUAUUCGCAAAAUGACUGACAGGUGCUUUUUAUCUUUUCUUCCCUCCUGGAACCACAGUCAUACUGUUGUCAUUGGUUAGAGGUAAAAACCAAAUGGCUAGAACAAAGUAUCAAGGAAAUAUAAGUACUUUUGGCUACUUAUGUCAUUCAAAUAAACCCUGAAUAAUUACUUAACCAAAUUGUUCAGUUGAAUAUCCACAAGAAAAUAAGAACUUUUAUCUGGGAGGUGGUUGAGACCAUGCACAGCAUCACAUCAUUGUACCUCUGGGGCUUCAAUAUAACGGCUUACAAGUUAGUAAGGAUCCUUUGUGAGCUCAAGAAAUCUUAGAAACUAAUCAAAAUCUUCUUGCUUUGAGGUAAAAAAAUGUAUCCGUAUUUCUUUUUUCUAAGUAAUUUGGUAAUUAGUUUUAAGAAAAUCUAACCUGCAAGAAUAAUUCAUUUGUAUUUCAGGAAUAUUGUACAUAGUUGUAAUGAUUCAGAGUGAAUCUUUUGCUCUGCAAAAAAGUUAGAUAUUAUGAGGAUUUGUUUUGCCUUAGAAAUGUAAAUUUUGUAGAACUAUGUUGGCAUGUUUAACAUUGUAACAAUAUGUGUCCUAGUUUUGAUUUGGAAAAUUAUUUGAGCAAUGAAAAAAACAGAAAAUUGGCAUAUAGAGCAACAAGAGCUGAAAAUUAUAUUAAUUUUGUUAAAUGGACAAAAUAAGCCUCCUGUAGCUUUACAUCGUUUUGAGCCUUGGAGUGUGGGGUUUUUUGUAAUACUUAAGCAAAUAUUCAUCUGCAAAUGGAAAUUUCAUUUCACUAUUUUCCCCCUGAGAAAUGGAAAUGAAUAUGGGUGUUAUGAGCUCCCCUAAAAGCCGGGGUAAUGUGUAAUGUAUGAGUGAAAGAGUGGUGGAUUUAGGCCAGAUAUCCAUAAAAUGUUGCAUCCCUGAGGUUCCUAGAGAAGGAGUUGUGCUAUCUUUUCUUUGCACCUUGUUUCAGUUCAGAUGGCUAAUUCUUUGUUGUCAAAGUGCUGCUUGUUCCUGUACUCUUCCCCUCCUUCCAAACUCUCAGCUGAGCUGCAAGGCUGGUUGGACAGAGCUUUUUCAGUGGUUUUGGACUGUGGCAGCUAAUUUUCCAGACAUGGGGGUGAGACAGUGCCAUUUCCUUCCUGCGGCUGAAUCUCUGCUGGCUCUCAGCUGUGGCGUAUACUCCUGACCUGGAGAGCUUGGAAUUGACUUUUGGAUUCACAGAAGCAGCACAGUAUGCUCCUCAGUGCGAGACAGACAUGGGGCUCCUGGAGCAGGUCCAGUGGAGGGCUUUGAAGAUGACUGUGUUGGGUCUGGAAAAUGCAUGCCUCCAGUGAGAAAACAAACAGUACAAAGUCUGAGGAACAACAAAUCGGUGUUGGAUGGACAAUGUUAAGGGAAUGACCAAAAAGAUAUAGGUUUGUCGGAGCAAGAAGAUGACUUUUCAGGCUAGAAACUUCAUCAGAUUUUGAAGUCUGUGACUUAGAAACGACUCCUGAGAGAUUUCCCAGUGGUAAAAUUAUACAGAAGACCAGAUAAUCAAAUAAGAAGGAAGAGUGCCUGAACUCGCAGACAAAAAUGCAUUUGGGAUGCCCAGGAGAACAAACUCAAAACUGUGGUUUCAUGGUUGGAUCACUUGGCACAGCUGUCGAUGCGGUCAAAGCGCUUGGCUGCACCGGUGAACGUGGAGAGAUCCUGAGUUUGGUGUUGGCUUGUUCAGAGCACCCUUAUCCAAAGCCUGCUGAUCUGCAGUUACUGUUGUGUCUUCUGGUAGCACCUCACUGACCUGUGUGCCAUAUGGACAGGACUGGGACAGCCCAACUAUCAGAGCAGUAGGGAAGUGGGAAGGUGUGUCUGGAACACAGGCUUGACACACUGGGGAAAAGAAUUGUCUUCUUCCUGAGUGGUUCUUGUCUUCUUCAUGAGGCUCAGGAGAAAACACAGGCAUGCAUGCCUUCAGCAGAGAGCGCAGGCAGUCUGAGUUAGUACAGACCAAGGAACAAAUGACAAGACAUGAAUUUGCCUGUCAGCACGUGCAUGGUUUGGGCAGGCAAUUCAGCCUUCCUGAACAUCACCCUGCUAAACACACAGCAAAUCAAAAACAUGCCCCAGGAUGUGGCAUGCAGUAAUUGCAAAAGAGUGAAUAAAAAGGAGACAUUUGUAUUUCUUCUAUGUUGUACAGUUUCUUCUCUUUUAUGUUGUACUGUUCUGUAUUUUACAAGCUGUCCCUUUCUAUGGGAAUCUUAUUUUCAGCUCAUACAUAAGCACUACAUGAGCAAGCAGUAAGCACAGUUAAACAUGUAAAUCUAUUUAAAUUUGAAUAACAUUGUAGAAUAUCAAAGGAAAUAUUUCAUGAGUAAAGUUUGUCAUGGUUUAAAAUAGGAAAAGCACUCUACAUUAAAAUUUCCAGUUUGAUUGUUUUGCUUUCAGUCAUCACAAUACACGCGAGUUUUUCAACUUGUAGAGCAGUCUUAAAAUUAAUGUGUUAUGAAAGUAAAAUUAUUUUGCUGCACUUUGCAUCCUUUUCUUCUUAUCCAAGAGCCUUCUGACAGCCACCUAAUACCAGCUAGAUUUUCAAGUGUCCCUUCUCCUUAUUGCAGAUAAUUGGAAGCAUCUGCUCCAUUGUUAAAAUGUGCACUCCUGUGCUUACAGCUGAAAACUGUGAUCUCAGCAUAUCCAAACAUUUCUUCAUCUUCCCAGCUUCAAUAUAAUUUUCUAGUUUUGAUCAUGUUCUGGAGUAAGGAGUUGGUUAUUCUAAGUAGUUAUUCCUUGAUUUAUGUCAAUUUGAAGAAAUUGCAGAACUGCUGUAAUUUUCAAGUCAAUUGUUCCUCCUCACACCACCUGUGAACUAGAAAGGAUGUGCUUUCCAAAGGAUAUUCAGUGCUCAGUUGUUAGUUCCUUGGCCAUUCCUGAAAUUUUUCAAGUGUUGCAUCUUGGCUGAUAAACCAUCAGCUAUUCCGUGGAACAGGAGAUGCUGAGUAUUGGAAACUAUCAGUGUGGGUUUGUGAGGAUCCUCUCAGGCUGGCUACCCUACAUAGCAUCCAAGAAAAAGAGAUUCUUAUACACUGAAAGGACCCAGCAGGUUUAUAUCUGGUAUUCUUCUUUCAGCUCUUGCUGGUUACAGGGGCCAAGGGCUCGACUACAGGGGACUGUCUCAAUGAGAGUGUCCAGCUUGUGACAGGUUUAGUAAAGAUGGUAAAGAGUGGAAAAGGGUCUGCAAAUCUUCAGCAGAGGUUGAUAUUCCUGUCUCUGAAGGAGACUUCUUUUGCCUAUAUACAGUAGUUCCUGUUCAGAAAAGUUCAGAUACAAAAUAUAUGAGUUGCUGGUGCAGGACAGCAUUGUGCAAAGAAAGCACUGUUAAAAGAACUUGGAGACUAGUGUAGCUCUUGCUUUCCUGCAUUUGAUAAGUAUUAUAGACAUUCUAACAGAUUUCAACAUCCCCCAAGAAAUAGUUAUCUUAAGUCUAAUUUGAUAAUGCAUUUUUUUUACGUUAAGAAUCACUGAGAUUCUUAAUUUGUGUCUACAAGCAAAUUAGGUGUCCAGUGUCCCACACAAAGCCAGUCUCCUAGAAAACCAACUGGUCUAGUAAGUGACUCAGCUCAGCCUGAGGUCAAGUCUCACUCCCCGGGCUCUCCCUACUGACUCUGAAGAGAGCUCAGACAUCUGUAUCUGAAAUCAUAGCACCCAUAAGUAGAUGGCUGGGAUUGGUUGUCUUCAUUUGCAAGCUGAAGGACUCCCUGAAUCUUGUGUUGUCAUUGCAUUGAAAGAGGUAUGCUUUUUUAGGAGUUAAUGGUGCUGCACAUGAGUGCUUGGAGUACUCUUGUAAAAAGUAGGGGACACUGUGGGGUUUCUUAAUCCUUUUUCCCACUACUGGUCACUUAUUUAUGAAGCAAAGAUUUAAAUGUCUUUUCCUUCCUCCUUCCCAUGAUCCUUUUACAAAACAUAACCCUUUCUACCAUCCUCUCUUUCUCUUUAAAUCACCAUCAUUUUGAAGCUGCUAGCUGUCGUGGUUGCAGGGGGAGGUCAAUUUUUCUAGGGAGAGGUGAGCAGGCUAAUCAGUAAUCAGCUUUUUUGCUGGCACCUGGAUUGGUCACUCGGAGGUUUGGACACACCUCUGAGGACACAAAGAGUUAAAAGCAGGACUCUAGGGGGGUUCGGCUUCUUUUAGAUUCUGGUUUAAGUGGAGAGACGUCUCAGGUCUCCUUACCCUGCCCAGCCACGAGGCUGGGUGGGGGAGGGGAAACACAUGGUCGGGCUCAGGUAAGCCAGAGCCCUAAGGGGGAGAAGAGAGUGGACAGGACUGGAACUGAGCUGCCCCGUCCAGGAUGGAGGGGUGGAAAACUGUGGAAGUGCCUUCUGUGUGUGCUCACCCCCCUCCACCCCCCCCAAACUCCGGGAGAAGGUGCCCAGCCACGUGGGGGUUUGCGGAGCCUGGGAGUGCCUCAGCCUGCAGCACCCUGCUGAGAAGAAACUGUUAACCCUUGCUUGGCAGAAAGAAACUUUUCUUAGACAUUGAUUCUCGUGACUGGUAGUUUCAGAAGAGAGAAAGAAGCGGCCUGGGACCGAGAUGAUAAAGCACGAUUAGAAAGAACCCGAUGGGCAAAGAAUGAGAAGAGUAGCUUUCUGAGCUAGACUUUUCUUGCAUAAUGUCAACCAUGGACUGAACUUAAGUCUCUUUUGAACAUAAACUGCAUUUUAAGGAGAUACAGCUGCCCCUGCUUUUGUUACAGUGACUGGCACUUGAAGAGUGGAGCGAGCAGAGAAGAGAGGGGGAGGGUGAGGUGGUGCCCUCUGCCCUCAGGGCAGACCUGCUCCUGGAACCCCGGCCCCUGGGUAAAAAGGGGAGAGCUCAGCAUGCAAGUAUCCUUAAAAGAGCCCUGUAUGCAGUUUUCAGCCUGUGGACAGCGGUGAGAGCGCUGGACAUAGGAAAAAGAGAGUGUCACCCUAGCAGACUUCUCCAGGCGGUGCCAGGGGUGACAUGAAAACACAUAAGGGGUGGACCUGUGUUUUCUGAAGAACAGUCUGUGGUGCGAGAGAGACUCCUCUCUCCCUUGCUGAAUUGAAGAUUAGUUUGUUUGUUUGUUUGUUUGUUUUUUGAGUGGUGAUUGUUUGAUCUAAAACCCAAAGGUUUGGUCUAUAAAGAGUAAAGUGUAGAGGGUAGAAACUGAGAGAAGAGAAGAGAUGUUCUGAGAAGUUUUUAUUUCUGUCUCUGUGUGUGUUUAAAAGUUUUUCUGUCUCUGUUCUUAUGUAAUGUAAUAAAGUUUUAGUGGUUUUUUUUGUUUUCAAGAUUUAAGCCUGCUCUGCUCUGUUCCUAGUCACAUCCCACAGUAGUUGUUAAAGAAAAAACAUAUAUUCAUGAGUACAUUAACAUCUGGCCAGUGCCAACCCAUGACACUAGCACAUAGGGAGUUGUUUUCCCUAGUUUGCUUAAUGACUGCAAAUAGCAGUUUAAAGGAUGAGUGAAAACACCGUGACCAGACCCCUUUUUGGCAAGCAUCCAAGCUUGGCCUGCCAUCCCUCUACAAUCUUGGAGGUCCUCACUACUUCCCCCACAGCUUUUGUGCUAUCUCCCUUUAACUUUCUCUUCCAGCUUAAACACUUCCACCAUUCCUUUCAUAAGUACCACAACACUUUGAGUCCAACACCUCUUAGAGCCCUUCCCCAGUAGCCAGCGUUUGCUGACACACUUUUUCUUAAAAAUAAUGUGACCCCUUUUUUGAACUUCUUCAGUUUUAUUUCAUUUUCCUUUUGUGUUACCUAACUGUGCUGCCGUCCAUCUCCAGCUCUUUCUUUUCUUCUGGACAUGAAAUAAAAAAUUCUAUUCUGAAUUGUCUCUGCUAUUUGAUGCUCUUUUUUUUUUUUUUUUUUUUUUUUUUUUUUUU